RNAcentral lists this ribosomal RNA (460 nucleotides) under uncultured bacterium. RNAcentral's name for it is "partial 16S ribosomal RNA". It matches the Rfam family "Bacterial small subunit ribosomal RNA", at positions 338 to 795 of the family's 1533-position model. The record is from RNAcentral.
ACUACGGUGAGCUGCAGUGAGGAAUAUUGGUCAAUGGACGGAAGUCUGAACCAGCCAUGCCGCGUGCAGGAAGACGGCUCUAUGAGUUGUAAACUGCUUUUGUACAAGGGUAAACCUGAAUACGUGUAUUCAGCUGAAAGUACUGUACGAAUAAGGAUCGGCUAACUCCGGGCCAGCAGCCGCGGUACUACGGAGGCUCCAAGCGUUAUCCGGAUUUAAUGGGUUUAAAGGGUGCGUAGGCGGAUUGAUAAGUUAGAGGUGAAAUGUCCGAGCUUAACUCGGGAACUGCCUCUAAUACUGUUGAUCUAGAGAGUAGAUGCGGUAUGCGGAAUGUAUGGUGUAGCGGUGAAAUGCUUAGAGAUCAUACAGAACACCGAUUGCGAAGGCAGCUUACCAAUCUAUAUCUGACGUUGAGGCACGAAAGCGUGGGGAGCAAACAGGAUUAGAUACCCGUGUAGUC